Heterocephalus glaber (naked mole-rat) is the source of this 5552-nucleotide non-coding RNA. NCBI's taxonomy places the organism in Eukaryota, Metazoa, Chordata, Mammalia, Rodentia, Bathyergidae. The record is from RefSeq and is a predicted model, not a curated record.
CUCUCUUCGAGAGAGGAUUACUUGUCCCAAAAUGCAAUUCUCCACCUGUAGGCUCCCUAGUUACUAUCUCUAUGCACUGGAGUCCAGUCAGGAGACGGGGAUCCAAGUGAGGACCCGAGAAGGUAGCAGAAUAAUGGUUUCGAGCAGGGUGGAAAUUAUUAGAGGAAACCGUUUAAGGGGCAGGAAAAUAUUGUGAGGCAUGAAAGUGUCGUUCACCCGCUUACAGAGGCGCUGAGAGGCGGAGGAUUAUCGACCAAUUUAGACGCUGUCUGGGACUCCAAGAGAAUAGAAUCUCCUUGUGGUCUACUCCAGGAAAACUGAAAGAUAAAUGAAAUGAGGGUUCAACCUUUUCUUACCUUACCGUAGCCUCCGCCUCGCUUUCAACCCCCAAGUCUCCUAGUGUGAGGAAGGUUCCGGACCAGGCUUAUCAAAGUUUUGGCUUUGUUGCAAAAAAUGGUCAAGAUUUAAUGUUCCUCUGGUGAAAAGUGUGCAUACUGUGAUUUAUGUCGGCCCAAGAAAUACAUAAACAUGCUGUUCUCCCUCCUAUCAUUAGCAGAAGUGACAAGGAAUUUUUGGAAAGUAUGCAAAGAUACAUAAUUACAGAAACUGAAAGAGCGGGCUGUAAUGAGAAAGGGCCUGCUGAUGAAUAUUAUAUCAUAUACAGAAAUGUUUUCGAUAAGGUCAUAGAGUAUGUUACCGCAUAUAAAUCCAUUCUUACUUCAAUCAAAAAAGAAUAUGAUGCCUUUAUUGAGACAAUGAAGAAAAGCCAGAGAACUGCAUUUUAUCUCCAUGGGAAACUUAAGGCUUUGGCAGCAGGGCCUACAGCUUUGGUAUAUCACCAGAGAAGAACAAUCCAACUGAAGGAAAAAAUAAGGAUUAUUAAAAAUAAUUCCUUGAAGAUUCAAUUGCAAAUAAAUCAACUGAAACAGCUUAGGGCAGAGUAUGAUGUGAAAGAAGUAAAAUACUGUACUUUCAUCAAAAAUCCUGCAAAACCUAUUCCAGGUAUGACUCUCCAUGAAUCUGUCAAUUUAGAUGCUCUCAGUAAAUAUAUGAAACAUCUUGAAGAUAAGUAUGCAGAAAUUAAACAAGCCAUGUCAAUAAACUAUGUACCAGCUCAAAAGAAGGCUGAUUUAGAUAAGGAAAUGAUUGUGUUAUUAAAAAGGCGAGAUGUAGCUGAAAGUCUGAACAAAGAAUUACAGUUUCGUUAUCAAAGACUACAGAUUGUUUCACAUGCACUUACUUCAUGGGUAAAAUCUGAUAUGAGCAGCUCAUUUCAAGACUUCGUGGACCAAAUUCAGAAAACCAAAGGUUCAAGUGUAUUUACAGGUGACCAAGGCAUUGUUGAAGAACUGCUUGAAGAUGAUCCAAGCAGGGCAAAAGAUGCUGAAAUUGUGCUGUACUACAUUGAAAGGUUCAAUGAAUUAAUCUCACUUGGUGAAUAUGAAAAGGCAGCUUGUUUUGCAGCAAAUAGUCCUAGAAGAAUUCUUCGAAACAUGAAUAUAAUGAACAAAUUUAAAGCUGUUGGGAAAAUAAGAGGAAAGCCUCUUCCAUUACUCUUAUUUUUUGAGGCUAUAUUUAGCACAAGUCAUGCUUUUAGAUAUCCUGUUGAUGCAUAUCUAACUUUGGAAGGAAUCAAAUGUGGACUGUCUGAAAAAAGGUUUGAUUUAGUUAUCAACUGGGUCACCCAAGAAAAGUUAACAUUUUCUGAGGAGGCUGGUGAUGUGAUUAGUGAUUAUGGGGAGCAGGAUACUUUUAACAAGGCCAAGUGUUUGGCUUUAGCUCAAAUUAUCUACAGCAAAUGUGGCCUUCAUAAGAAAGCUCUUCUUUGCCUGUGCAAACAGGGUCAGAUUCAUAGGGCCAUGGAAUACCUACAGCAGUUUAAAGACUUUACUUCAGGUGACCUGAUGCAGCUAAUAACAUUAUGUCCCCAAGCUGAACUAAUUCAUUCUCUCACUAAAGAAAGCAAUGGGAAACCACCAUUUUUAUCUUUUGGGCUUAUUAUACUUCAUCUGUUCUCUGGAAAUAUGGAAGAAGUUGGCAUUAAACUACUUAAAGAAAUAAAUAAAGGUGGGAAAGAUGCAAUAGAACAUCUUAUGAUGAGUGAUUCAUUUUGCUCGCUAGAAACAUGGCAAGACAUGGCAGAUAUAUGUUUACAGAAUGGCUUUAACAAAUUAUCUAAUGACAUCAUGUCCAUUCUUCGAUCUCAGGCUGGAGUUUCAGAAAUUUCUGAAGAAGAUGAAAAAGUGAACCUAAUGGAACAUGUUUUUUGGUAGCUCUAUAUUUUAACCAGUUGAGGGAGCUUGUACAACAUUGUCCAUAUAUUGGUUGAGCAAACUGGUUUUGGCAUGAUAAUAAAUAAAACCAGCAUAUAAAGCUCUCAGAACUAAAUAACAGCAGUUUUGUUAUGAUGAUAUUUAGGUUUGUCCUUGAAACAUUUAUAUUAUUGCUUUAUUUUUCCAGUAUGGUCAUUUCUUAUAUUGAAUUUUGAUAAAAUCCAAAUUAUAACUUAGUGUAAAAUUGUAUAGGUAUUUUAAGGACAUAAGCUAAUGUCUAGAUACAUUCUUUUCUGGUAAUUUAAUUUGAUGGUAAGAACUGAAGAAGGCGAGCAUAGUAUUUUUCCUUUAGGCUGCCCAAAUAACAAAUUCUACACACUUGCCUUGAGAAGAAAGGUAGAUUUAUUUCAAGGUUAAUUUCUGGAAAAACCUAGAGUGUAGUAAUUUUUUACUGCUGAUUUAAAGGUGUGUCCUAUGCUUUGGCAUAUAUAAAUAUGGCAAAGGUUAGGUUUCUACUGAAAUUGGAAUUCUUGGCUUGUUCUUUAGAGGGAGGAACCAGCCAAAUUUUGCAUAGAAGUUGACCUGGAAUACCUCUAGGUACAAAAGAAAUAUGUAUGUCAUAAAAGUUGUUUUUUAUUAUUUCAAGUGUCUGAAUAAAUAUUUAAUUAAAAACUCAGAGUUCUGUGCCAUCGACAAGUGUGAUAUCCAAAAUAUAUAAGUAUGGCAUGGACACCAAUCAAGCAGAACAGAUGCUUAAUUAAUCAGAACAGCUUUCAGUCCUUAUGUCACAUCAGAACACACAAGCUAAUGUCAGCCUUGAUGAAGGGUAAAAAUGAGCCACUGUUAAGAUAGAAAAAGCAAAAAGCAUAUAUUUUCCUUCCUAAAUUUAAAUUGAAAGUGAAUUUUUUAUAAUGGAAAGAAUAUGGACUUGGAGUCAGAUAGCCUUAUAUAAAAAUUCUGGUACACUCUUACUCAUUUGUGAAAUAUAGGUGGUAAUAGCUACCCUAGGUUUAUGAAGGGUACUGCUAAUGUAUGUGAAGUGUAAAUGUAUCACAUAAUGGAGGAAUUUAGUAGAAGAUGACUGUUAUUUCUGUGUAGGAGGACGCAGAAACAAAUAUUCCUCUGCCUACUCUACACUUAUGAAAUCCUACAUUUUUACUCAUUUGUAUGAUAUAAUGGUACUUAUUUGGAGUAUUUGAUAUAUUGGUAUAACUUACUGCCUAUUUUAAGCUAUCUGAGCUCAUUUUAUGUUUCCCUGCCAUAUAUUAUAAAUCUAGAAGUAUACUGGCUGAGAUUAAUUUUUCCAUGUAGUGCUAAACACAGUCCUGGAUAGUUAUACUUCAGUUUUCUAAAACUUAAAAUUUUUACUAAAGUAAUAUACAUGCAAAAUUUAAAAGCCAAUAUAUUACUAAGAUGCUUAUGAUAACUAAUAACAUUUUUAUUUCUAACCUUUUAUCUUAGCUGUGAUUAAAAAAAGAACACAGAUGAGGCCGGGUAUUUAGUUUAGUGGCACAGCGCCUGCCUCUCAAGCGCAAGGACAUAAUUACUUAAGGCAGCUUUCCCAAGGAAAGUGAAAGUUGUCAAGUGAAUAUGAAUUAAAAUGCCUGGAAUAGGGAGGAAGAACAAGAACAUAACGGCAAGUGGGGAAGGAGGAAGAAUUGAGUUUUGAGCUGCAUAGGGCUUGGAAGAUGUAACAACCUUCCUGUAAUCUAUGGUGAAAGAAACAUAACAAGGGCCCAGCGUAGAUGCCUGUAAUACAGACCAGGACUAACACUAUUGAGUUUUAUGUCCUGGUAUGUUAUACUGGCAUUAUCAUUUGAUUCUAGGAGCUGUCAAAUUUCUUCCUGGAUUUCUUCUGUGAUCCAUUGAUACUGUUUAAUUUCCAUGCAUUUGCAUAAUUUCUGUGGAUUUUUUUUGCGAUUGAUUUCUAGUUUCAUUGUGCUAUAAUCUGAUAAUAUGCAUGGGAUAAUUUUAUUUCUUUUGCAUUUACUUAAGCAUGCUUUAUGGGCUAGUGUAUGGUCUAUUUUGGAGAAAGUUCCGUAUGCUGCUGAGAAAAAAUGUGUAUUCUGUUGUUGAGUAGAACACUCUGAGAUGUCUAGUAAGUCCAUUUGUUCUGAGGUUUUGGUUCAACUCUGAUACUCUUCGUUAAUUUUUUAUCUAGUUGAUCUAAUUGUGCUGAUGGAGUAUUAAGGUUCUCCACUGUAAUUGCGUUGAUUUUUUUAAUUUUUUAUGUCCAUAGUGUUUGUUUUAUGAAUUUGGAUGUGACUGUUUGAUACAUAUAUGUUUAUAAUUGUUAUCCUGUUGAACUGUUCCUUAAAACAAUAUGUAGUGACUUUUCUUUGCCUCUUCUGAUUGGUUUUGGCUUUAAGUCUACUUUAUUGGAAAAUGGGAUAGUAAAUCCUGCUGGUUUUUUGGGUUCUUAUUGCAUGGAAUAUUGCUUUCCAUCCUUUGAUUUUUAGUCUAUAGAUUUCUUUUUGGGGUUGAACGUGUUUUUUGUAUAUAGCAUACUAUUGGAUUUGUUUCUUGAUCCAUUCUGCUAAUCUGUGUCUUUUGAUUAGAUAAUUGAGACCAUUCACACUGAGAGUUAUUACUGAAAGGUAUUGACUUAUUCUUGUCAUUGCCCAAUUUCCCUGUUGCUGAUUCCCUUAUUGUUUCUCUCCUACUUAGCUGCUCACCCUGCCUAGUGUACAGUAUUUGUUCAGUUAGCUCUGGGCAUUUUCUAUAAUGUGUCAUGAUGUUCUUUUCUGAUUGUGGCUACGUAGGUUUCUAUAUGCCUUGGAUGACAGUAUUGUUAAUGACACAAAGGCAAUCCAGAUAUUGGCAUACAGAGAAAAUCAAUUAACAGCAAUAACUAUACCUCCUUGGCAAUAGCAAUAAAAAUCAGCAAUAAUAAUAUCAUCAAAGAUAAACUGGACAUUGAUAUACCCUACGAACCAGUAAUAUUAACCAUAGAAAAGAGAUCUAUAGUUACUGAUUAAACACUAAGACAAACCAAAUAUUGACACACCAUAAAUAUCUACGACUUGCAACAACUGUAUAUCUCCACUAACAAUAAAACAGUAUUCAACAGUAAUAGCAUAGAGCUAAUUAACUAUCUAAAGAGUCAUAAAGCUUAAUGGUUACACUAGUGAGAAUAAAAGGGGUGGGGAACUAGAGAAUGAAGAGUAGAAUUUGAAAAAUUAAUCAGUGAAAGAUGAGAAGGAGGAGAAAAAAGUGAGAUAAAGAAUCCUGUUGAGUACUGAUAGUAUUGAUCAAAUUAAUAGUAUUGAUUAAGAAAAA